UACGUAGGGUGCAAGCGUUGUCCGGAAUUAUUGGGCGUAAAGAGCUCGUAGGCGGCUUGUUGCGUCGGCUGUGAAAACCCAUGGCUUAACUGUGGGCUUGCAGCCGAUACGGGGCAGGCUAGAGUUCGGUAGGGGGAGACUGGAAUUCCUGGUGUAGCGGUGGAAUGCGCAGAUAUCAGGAGGAACACCGGUGGCGAAGGCGGGUCUCUGGGCCGAUGUUGACGCUGAGGAGCGAAAGCCAGGGGAGCAAACGGG
Molecule: ribosomal RNA, 255 nt
Filed under: uncultured bacterium
Lineage: Bacteria
Description: partial 16S ribosomal RNA
Rfam family: Bacterial small subunit ribosomal RNA
Source: RNAcentral